Fukomys damarensis (Damara mole-rat) is the source of this 453-nucleotide long non-coding RNA. RefSeq lists it as uncharacterized. Lineage: Eukaryota; Metazoa; Chordata; Mammalia; Rodentia; Bathyergidae. The transcript has 3 exons. The record is from RefSeq and is a predicted model, not a curated record.
GGUGAGCAGCACCAGGCCCUUCCACUGUGACUUCCUGCCACCAAGCCCAUCGACAUCGGGCUGAAAAUGUGACCUGAAAUAGACCUGUGUUGGUGGAGAUGAACAGGAGACACUGGAAAGUCCGACCACUGUGUCUUGGGCUGAUUUUCCAGGUGUUCAGGACCAGGCUCCAGUGGAGAUGCAGGCCUGAAGUAAAAGAAACCCCAGCUGCUCAGGACUUGGGUGGACAGCCUUGUGACCAUUUCACGAAUGAUAAUGUUGAGGAUCCAAAGGGAUGAAGGGUCAGGGUCUACACUGGUCAGUAGCAGAUCCUUGAUUCGGAUCCGUGCACGCGGCCGUGCUUUAUAGAGAUUCUUCGUGGAGUCAGCGAUGGCUUCCAGAUUCCACCCCGUGACUCUGUGAUCUGCUUUCAGUCUGUGUGCACUGUGAAGUAAAACAAUGAUGUUGGAUCGA